This 723-nucleotide long non-coding RNA is filed under the name Marmota monax (woodchuck). Lineage: Eukaryota; Metazoa; Chordata; Mammalia; Rodentia; Sciuridae. The record is from RNAcentral.
UUUACAUAAACCUAGUAUUUCAAGAUAUUUGAAUGGUUAACAGGACAAUAGAAGAAAGCCUUAAGUACCUUUGAUAAAAUUUGUGACAUAGUGCUCUGCAGAUGGCUUCAGAGAGCACUAACAAAUAUUUUGAGAUCAUACCAUUUUUCAUUUGCUCAUUGGGUAAUCAACAAAUUUGAUAUCAGUAAUCACAUUUAAGCUUUGCUCUGUUCAUCUUUGAGGGAACUCUGAAUAUAAGUAAUCAAAUGCAUUCCUCAUUUUGUCAGAUCUGGGUUUCUAGUUACACUGAGGUUAUUCAAAGAUCAAGAAACUCAACUCAAAGUGGAUCAAAGACUGGGGGUCUAGAACAGAGGAGACCCUGCACCUAACAGAAGGAAAAGUAGGCCCAAAUAUUCACCAUAUCAGCAUAGGAUCUGACUUCCUUAACAGAACUCCUAGAGCACAAGAAAUAAAAUCAAGAAUCAAUAAAUGGAGAUGGAUUCAAACUAAAAACCUUCUUCUCAGCAAAGGAAACAAUCAAUAAUUUGAAGAGAGAGCCUACAGUAUGGGAGAAAAUCUUUACCACAUGCACUUCAGAUAGAACAUUAAUCUUCAAGAUAUAUAAAGAGCUCAAAAAAUUUAACACCAAAAAAACAAAUAACCCAAUUAACAAAUGGUCUAAGGAACUGAACAGACACUUCGUAGAAGAAGAAAUACAGUCCAUCAACAAACAUACGAAAAAAU